AACAUUCCAUGCUUGCUGUAUUCAUAUGGUGGAUUACCGAAGUCGAGUAGGCAGGCAAAAUCCCCAUGUAACUGUCAAAAAUGACUUAUGUAGAUUUCAAAUAUACACAGACAUUUAGGAUAAGAUCCAAAUGGCUCUGCAUGGCUUAUAAAACGCUACAUACUCUGCCCACUGUGCACCUAAAAAAAAAAAAAAAGAAAAUUAAUAAUAUACUUUGUACUGGUAA
This 226-nucleotide long non-coding RNA is filed under the name Pan troglodytes (chimpanzee). Its description in RNAcentral is "long non-coding RNA NONPTRT012965". The record is from RNAcentral. Lineage: Eukaryota; Metazoa; Chordata; Mammalia; Primates; Hominidae.